GAUGAAGAACGCAGCGAAAUGCGAUAAGUAGUGUGAAUUGCAGAAUUCAGUGAAUCAUCGAAUCUUUGAACGCACAUUGCGCCCUUUGGUAUUCCUUAGGGCAUGCCUGUUCGAGCGUCAUUUAAACCUUCAAGCUCAGCUUGGUGUUGGGUGACUGUCCGCCGCCCUCGGGCGCGUGGACUCGCCUCAAAAUUAUUGGCGGCCGGUACAUUGGCUUCGAGCGCAGCAGAAACGCGAACUCGAGCCCGUCGUAUUGGCUCCCAGAAGCUAUCUUCACAAUUUUGACCUCGGAUCAGGUAGGGAUACCCGCUGAACUUAAGCAUAUCAAUAAGCGGAGGA
Molecule: unclassified non-coding RNA, 339 nt
Filed under: soil metagenome
Description: partial contains 5.8S ribosomal RNA, internal transcribed spacer 2, and large subunit ribosomal RNA
Rfam family: 5.8S ribosomal RNA (bases 1-120)
Source: RNAcentral